This 379-nucleotide ribosomal RNA is filed under the name uncultured eukaryote. RNAcentral describes it as "partial 18S ribosomal RNA". It matches the Rfam family "Eukaryotic small subunit ribosomal RNA", at positions 592 to 975 of the family's 1831-position model. The record is from RNAcentral.
CAAUAGCGUAUAUUAAAGUUGUUGCAGUUAAAACGCUCGUAGUCGGAUUUCGGGGCCUGCCUGCCGGUCUGCCGAUGGGUAUGCACUGGCAGGCGCGUCCUUCCUUCCGGAGACUGUCCCUACUCUUAACUGAGCGGGGUCGGGGGACGGAUCGUUUACUUUGAAAAAAUCAGAGUGUUUCAAGCAGGCAGCUCGCUCUUGCAUGGAUUAGCAUGGGAUAAUGAAAUAGGACUUUGGUGCUAUUUUGUUGGUUUCGAACACCGAAGUAAUGAUUAACAGGGACAGUCAGGGGCACUCGUAUUCCGCCGAGAGAGGUGAAAUUCUCAGACCAGCGGAAGACGAACCACUGCGAAAGCAUUUGCCAGGGAUGUUUUCACUG